UGAGGAAGUAAAAGUCGUAACAAGGUCUCCGUUGGUGAACCAGCGGAGGGAUCAUUA
This 57-nucleotide ribosomal RNA is filed under the name Fusarium oxysporum. RNAcentral's name for it is "partial 18S ribosomal RNA". It matches the Rfam family "Eukaryotic small subunit ribosomal RNA", at positions 1775 to 1831 of the family's 1831-position model. Lineage: Eukaryota; Fungi; Ascomycota; Sordariomycetes; Hypocreales; Nectriaceae. The record is from RNAcentral. RNAcentral also lists the same sequence under 5 other names.